ACAUAUUGUCCAGCUAAACCCAAGACACACCUAUUCACAAAUCCAUCCACAAAUUAUAAAUUAUAUUAAAACCAGGGGCGGGGAGCCGUCACUGAGCUCUGUGUCCGCAGGGAGGCCAAAAAUAAUGCGCUGCCUUCAUCGUCCACCGCGUCCCAGUCACAAACUUUCCUCAAGAAAGCACCACGGGGUGAUUUUCAUGUGAACGAGACCCCGACCGCGCGAACACACAGGACGGCAGGUAUCCACGGUGUGAAUAUAUUCACACGAUCAUCUGCCAGAACAGCCGUGAUAACAUCGACAACAUCCAUCCAGAAUGAACUGAUGUGUUAAACAAGGUGCGUACAUCUCCAAGCAACAACUGAAAAUCCCGGAAAGAGAAGAUCCAAACUUUGGAAUUUAAAUCCACAGUCACACCUGCGCGCUUCUGCUCGGUGAAAAAUAAGCAGAACUCAUCAUCCCAGACCCGUUGUCCUCACGUUUCCAUCCUCAAAUCUUCAAUUGGAUGUGGACUGCGCCACCGUGCAGCAUCCAGCAACAUCAGCAGCAGCGCAGAUAAGCCAGACAGCAGCAAGCUGGCAGACUGUGGGGAUCUGAGCACGCAUGGGGCGUCAUUUGGCUCGGAUAAGCCUACCUGUGGUGCGAUAACUGAAGGAUUGGCUUGUGUUGAUGGCUUCAUGGUCGAUUAGGGGAUGAUAAAUCUGAAAAGGUCGCAGAGCAACAGAGAGAGGGAGACAACUUUGAUCUGUUUCCAGUCUCGGUCCAUCGCUUCAGCUCCUCCACUUCCUCACUUUCACCAUCAAUCUGGAAGCUUAUGGGAUAGUUCAAAUGGCCGUUAGUAGAGUCACUCUUCUCUCCUGUACAAGCUUUUAGGCCAAGACUGUGAUCCAGCUGUUAAAUUCAUUUGUAUUCAUAUUGUAUUUUAUACUUUACUUUAUUGGAUUACAUUCACGGAGCCCCUGCUGCUGAGAUGCCGUUAAUUAGGAUCAGUGUUUCUUCUUUGGUAAAUACACAAUACAUUCUGAUUUUACAAAAUGUGCUGUCUUGCUUAGUUCAAUCUCAGUCUUUUUUCUUACCUAUUUUGUGAAAGUGUGAUUGAGCUGCUGAUUUGUGAUGGCUGCACCUGCUGCCACACAACUGAUUUAAAUCUCGGUAAACCUCCUGCCCUAACCGCUUUAUGGUUUACAUUUAAUAGUUAAUUUACUCCUCAUUUAGUUGGUCGACCUUAUCCGCACUGAAUUCACGUUGCACAUACAUCAGCAAACAGAUAAAUUACAUAUUUUUGAUUGUGUUUCUUUAGACUAUAUUAAUUUGUCCAUGCUUUGUUAACCUGCUUUGGUGAAC
This is a long non-coding RNA of Micropterus dolomieu (smallmouth bass), 1341 nucleotides long. RefSeq lists it as uncharacterized. The transcript has 3 exons. The record is from RefSeq and is a predicted model, not a curated record. Lineage: Eukaryota; Metazoa; Chordata; Actinopteri; Centrarchiformes; Centrarchidae.